UAACGAAUCUUCCACAAUGCACGAAAGUGUGAUGGAGCGACGCCGCGUGCUGGAUGAAGUUCUUCGGAAUGUAAACAGCUGUCAGGGGUAAGAUCUACCCAGAGGAAGUAGCGACUAACUCUGUGCCAGCAGUCGCGUAAUACAGAGGCUACGAGCGUUAGGCGGAAUCACUGGGCUUAAAGCGCGUGUAGGCGGUUUGGCAAGUACCUUGUGAAAUCCCACGGCUCAACCGUGGAACUGCUUGGUAUACUGCCCGACUUGAGGUGCUCAGGGGCAACCGGAACGGAUGGUGGAGCGGUGAAAUGCGUAGAUAUCAUCCGGAACGCCUGUGGUGAAGACGGGUUGCUGGGGGCAUUCUGACGCUGAGACGCGAAAGCCAGGGGAGCAAAC
Molecule: ribosomal RNA, 390 nt
Filed under: uncultured bacterium
Lineage: Bacteria
Description: bacterial SSU rRNA
Rfam family: Bacterial small subunit ribosomal RNA
Source: RNAcentral